RNAcentral lists this ribosomal RNA (459 nucleotides) under Mycale sp. J57. Its description in RNAcentral is "SSU rRNA". It matches the Rfam family "Eukaryotic small subunit ribosomal RNA", at positions 415 to 883 of the family's 1831-position model. Lineage: Eukaryota; Metazoa; Porifera; Demospongiae; Poecilosclerida; Mycalidae. The record is from RNAcentral.
UCCAAGGAGGCAGCAGGCGCGCAAAUUACCCAAUCCCGACUCGGGGAGGUAGUGACAAUAAAUAACAAUGCUGGGCUAUCGUAGUCCGGCAAUUGGAAUGAGAACAAUUUAAAUCCCUUAACGAGGAACAAUUGGAGGGCAAGUCUGGUGCCAGCAGCCGCGGUAAUUCCAGCUCCAAUAGCGUAUAUUAAAGUUGUUGCAGUUAAAAAGCUCGUAGUUGGAUUUCGGGGCGGCCCGACUGGUCCGCCGCGAGGUGAGCACUGGUCGGCCGCCCUUCCUCUCGGAAGCCCCGACUGCUCUUCGCUGCAGUGGUCGGGGAGUUCGGGACGUUUACUUUGAAAAAAUUAGAGUGUUCAAGGCAGGCCUUCGCCUGAAUACAUUAGCAUGGAAUAAUGGAAAAGGACCUCGGUCCCGUUUUGUUGGUUUCUUGGACCGAAGUAAUGAUUAAGAGGGACAGUU